AUUGAACGCUGGCGGAAUGCUUUACACAUGCAAGUCGAACGGCAGCACGGACUUCGGUCUGGUGGCGAGUGGCGAACGGGUGUGUAAUGUAUCGGAACGUGCCCAGUCGUGGGGGAUAACGUAGUGAAAAUUACGCUAAUACCGCAUACGAUCUAUGGAUGAAAGCGGGGGAUCGCAAGACCUCGCGCGGUUGGAGCGGCCGAUAUCAGAUUAGGUAGUUGGUGGGGUAAAGGCCCACCAAGCCAACGAUCUGUAGCUGGUCUGAGAGGACGACCAGCCACACUGGAACUGAGACACGGUCCAGACUCCUACGGGAGGCAGCAGUGGGGAAUUUUGGACAAUGGGCGAAAGCCUGAUCCAGCCAUUCCGCGUGCAGGAUGAAGGCCCUCGGGUUGUAAACUGCUUUUGUACAGAACGAAAAGGUUUCUACUAAUACUAGGAGCUCAUGACGGUACUGUAAGAAUAAGCACCGGCUAACUACGUGCCAGCCGCCGCGGUAA
Molecule: ribosomal RNA, 500 nt
Filed under: uncultured bacterium
Lineage: Bacteria
Description: partial 16S ribosomal RNA
Rfam family: Bacterial small subunit ribosomal RNA
Source: RNAcentral